GUGGGGAUGGACGUCAAGUCCUCAUGGCCUUUAUGCCCAGGGCGUACACACGUGCUACAAUGGGUGGUACAAAGAGAUGCAAUCUCGCAAGAGCAAGCAAACCUCAAAAGCCAUCCUCAGUUCGGAUUGGAGUCUGCAACUCGACUCCAUGAAGUCGGAAUCGCUAGUAAUCGCGGAUCAGCACGCCGCGGUGAAUUACCGGUUCCCGGGCCUU
Molecule: ribosomal RNA, 214 nt
Filed under: uncultured Gelria sp.
Lineage: Bacteria; Bacillati; Bacillota; Clostridia; Thermoanaerobacterales; Thermoanaerobacteraceae
Description: partial 16S ribosomal RNA
Rfam family: Bacterial small subunit ribosomal RNA
Source: RNAcentral